RNAcentral lists this transfer RNA (76 nucleotides) under Staphylococcus aureus DAR3901. RNAcentral's name for it is "tRNA-Lys". It matches the Rfam family "tRNA". From Rfam's summary of the family: Transfer RNA (tRNA) molecules are approximately 80 nucleotides in length. Their secondary structure includes four short double-helical elements and three loops (D, anti-codon, and T loops). The record is from RNAcentral. Lineage: Bacteria; Bacillati; Bacillota; Bacilli; Caryophanales; Staphylococcaceae.
GAGCCAUUAGCUCAGUUGGUAGAGCAUCUGACUUUUAAUCAGAGGGUCAGAGGUUUGAAUCCUCUAUGGCUCACUA